ACGGGCCCACCCUAGUCUUCGAUGGAUAGGGGUUCUGAGAGGAAGGUCCCCCACCAUUGGAACUGAGACACGGUCCAAACUCCUACGGGAGGGCAGCAUG
This 100-nucleotide ribosomal RNA is filed under the name uncultured bacterium. Its description in RNAcentral is "partial 16S ribosomal RNA". It matches the Rfam family "Bacterial small subunit ribosomal RNA", at positions 259 to 348 of the family's 1533-position model. The record is from RNAcentral.